Molecule: ribosomal RNA, 443 nt
Filed under: uncultured bacterium
Lineage: Bacteria
Description: partial 16S ribosomal RNA
Rfam family: Bacterial small subunit ribosomal RNA
Source: RNAcentral
CCUACGGGUGGCAGCAGUGGGGAAUAUUGGGCAAUGGCCGCAAGCCUGACCCAGCAAAGCCGCGUGAGGGAAGAAGGCUUUCGGGUUGUAAACUUCUUUUCUGAGGGACGAAAAAAGUGACGGUACCUCAGGAAUAAGCCACGCCUAACUACGUGCCAGCAGCCGCGGUAAUACGUAGGUGGCAAGCGUUAUCCGGAUUUAUUGGGUGUACAGGGCGUGUAGGCGGGAAAGCAAGUCAGAUGUGAAAACUCAGGGCUCAACCCUGAGCCCGCAGUUGAAACUGUUUUUCUUGAGUGCUGGAGAGGCAAUCGGAAUGCGGGGUGUAGCGGUGAAACGCGUAGAUAUACGGAGGAACACCAGUGGCGAAGGCGGAUUGCUGGACAGUAACUGACGCUGAGGCGCGAAAGCGUGGGGAGCAAACAGGAUUAGAUACCCCAGUAGUC